GAUGAAGAACGUAGCGAAAUGCGAUAAGUAAUGUGAAUUGCAGAAUUCAGUGAAUCAUCGAAUCUUUGAACGCACAUUGCGCCCGCCAGUAUUCUGGCGGGCAUGCCUGUUCGAGCGUCAUUUCAACCCUCAGGCCCCCAGUGCCUGGUGUUGGGGAUCGGCAGCAGGGCGUCAAGCCCGCCGGCCCCGAAAUCUAGUGGCGGUCUCGCUGUAGUCCUCCUCUGCGUAGUAGCAACACUCGCAUGCGGAGCGCGGCGCGGCCACGCCGUAAAACCCCCGACUUUCUAAACGUUGACCUCGGAUCAGGUAGGAAUACCCGCUGAACUUAAGCAUAUCAAUAAGCGGAGGA
This 349-nucleotide unclassified non-coding RNA is filed under the name soil metagenome. Its description in RNAcentral is "partial contains 5.8S ribosomal RNA, internal transcribed spacer 2, and large subunit ribosomal RNA". The stretch from base 1 to 120 matches the Rfam family "5.8S ribosomal RNA", at positions 35 to 154 of the family's 154-position model. The record is from RNAcentral.